UACGUAGGGUGCGAGCGUUGUCCGGAAUUAUUGGGCGUAAAGAGCUCGUAGGCGGUGUGUCGCGUCGGCCGUGAAAACCUGGGGCUCAACUCUGGGCGUGCGGUCGAUACGGGCAUCACUUGAGUUCGGCAGGGGAGACUGGAAUUCCUGGUGUAGCGGUGAAAUGCGCAGAUAUCAGGAGGAACACCGGUGGCGAAGGCGGGUCUCUGGGCCGUAACUGACGCUGAGGAGCGAAAGCAUGGGGAGCGAACAGG
This 254-nucleotide ribosomal RNA is filed under the name uncultured bacterium. RNAcentral describes it as "partial 16S ribosomal RNA". It matches the Rfam family "Bacterial small subunit ribosomal RNA", at positions 524 to 776 of the family's 1533-position model. The record is from RNAcentral.